UUUGUAUUUCCCAUUCUGUAAAUUUUGAUGCUGUGCUUUAUCGAUCUUUCCAGGAGUCGGGCAAUGACACCAUCACAGCUGCGCCUACUGACAGUGAUUGUGAGAUACAGGAGAUGUGGCCCACGUGAAGCUGGGGGUGCCUUGGCACCUGUGCAGUAUGGCACAUACUUGGGAGAGGCAGCGCUCUGCAUGGGGAUCUGUGAGACCCAGUUUGUCGGUUAUGUCACGUUACCUCUCGAAUAAGGCUUUGUGACAUCCAGUCAGCCGGAAUGGAGCCUGUUACUGGGCUGCUUAGUCUCAGUAGGGGUUGAAGUCCGGGGCCACACUUUCUGCCCAGCUUACAGGCUCUGUAGCUAUAGUGAAUGCCUUUGAAAAGCAGUAGCAUGAUGGACUUACACCCUUUCAAUAGCUUCAUAUAAGAUUCCCAACAAGAAUGAGGUACUUCACAAUCUGCUUGAUUCCCAAAUGGCAGGUGCCUACAGAAGGAAGUGGACUUCUCUGUCUGGUCCUGACAGCUGACUUAGGACGGCAUUUUGGCAAAAACUCAACAUCUGGGAAAGCUCUUGGUGCAGAUGUUGUCCCCGAAAGGUGGAAAGGGAGAGGUCCUUUCUUGCAUUCCUCCCAGAGACUGGGAAGCCUGUGUGGGUGGGGCCUCGCAAGGGGAGACCUGCCUGGAACUCAAGGGAGAGGAGUCCUCACCACUUCCUAACGAUUCCAACCUGGAGCCUGUUCUGGCUUUUUUCUUUUUUUGGGAGUGAAGGAAGAGCAGGAAGGUGUGGUUUGACAACAGUGAGCUCUCUUCUCCAGUCUUGAUGUGGACAUGUCUGUCCCUCAGCAGCACCGGCCUCUGGGGAGAAGGGCCCUGGGUCGGUCAUACCCAGAGCCAUAGAAAGGGCUGGCUAGAACAGCUUGGCCUUACGGCUCACAGUUCAUCUUAGCUGAGGUUUCCUGGGACAGGAAAAAUUGGUGACACAAAGAUGUGACAAAUCUAUAGCCUGAUGCCAUCAGGAAUUGGAAGUGUCCCCUCAAGCCAGCAGGCUAGAAAUAGGUGUUAGCUGGGCAUGGUGGCUCACACCUGUAAUCCCAGCACUUUGGGAGGGAGG
This 1103-nucleotide long non-coding RNA is filed under the name Homo sapiens (human). RNAcentral describes it as "HSALNT0236927". The record is from RNAcentral. Lineage: Eukaryota; Metazoa; Chordata; Mammalia; Primates; Hominidae.